GGGUGAGUAACACGUGGAUAACCUACCUAUAAGACUGGGAUAACUUCGGGAAACCGGAGCUAAUACCGGACAAUAUUUUGAACCGCAUGGUUCAAAAGUGAAAGACGGUCUUGCUGUCACUUAUAGAUGGAUCCGCGCUGCAUUAGCUAGUUGGUAAGGUAACGGCUUACCAAGGCAACGAUGCAUAGCCGACCUGAGAGGGUGAUCGGCCACACUGGAACUGAGACACGGUCCAG
This 236-nucleotide ribosomal RNA is filed under the name uncultured Staphylococcus sp. RNAcentral describes it as "partial 16S ribosomal RNA". It matches the Rfam family "Bacterial small subunit ribosomal RNA", at positions 104 to 334 of the family's 1533-position model. The record is from RNAcentral. Lineage: Bacteria; Bacillati; Bacillota; Bacilli; Caryophanales; Staphylococcaceae.